UAACCUUUAGCCACAAACAAGUAUUAAAGGCAACGCCUGCCCAGUGAAUAAUUAAACGGCCGCGGUACCCUAACCGUGCAAAGGUAGCAUAAUCAUUUGUCUAUUAAUUGUAGACCUGCAUGAAAGGCAAAAUGAGGGUUUAACUGUCUCUUAUAGUAAAUCAAUUAAACUGAUCUCCUAGUUAAAAAGCUAGAAUAACUACAUAAGACCAGAAGACCCUGUGAAGCUUAAACUAAACUAUUAAACCUCAUAAUAACUACUUUCGGUUGGGGCGACCUUGGAAAAAAAAAGAACUUCCAAACACAGUGACUAUAAAUCACCUCACCAGGCUCACAAGCCUAUUUAAACCUAGACCCAGCAAAGCUGAUUAAUGAACUAAGUUACUCCAGGGAUAACAGCGCCAUCUUCUUCAAGAGUCCAUAUCAAAAAGAAGGCUUACGACCUCGAUGUUGGAUCAGGACAUCCUAAUGGUGCAGCCGCUAUUAAGGGUUCGUUUGUUCAACGAUUAACAGU
This 513-nucleotide ribosomal RNA is filed under the name Colubroidea sp. BrJ-2018a. RNAcentral's name for it is "partial large subunit ribosomal RNA". It matches the Rfam family "Bacterial large subunit ribosomal RNA", at positions 1816 to 2594 of the family's 2925-position model. Lineage: Eukaryota; Metazoa; Chordata; Lepidosauria; Squamata. The record is from RNAcentral.